This 369-nucleotide ribosomal RNA is filed under the name uncultured bacterium. Its description in RNAcentral is "bacterial SSU rRNA". It matches the Rfam family "Bacterial small subunit ribosomal RNA", at positions 29 to 425 of the family's 1533-position model. The record is from RNAcentral.
AACGAACGCUGGCGGCAUGCCUAACACAUGCAAGUCGAACGCGUGUAGCAAUACACGAGUGGCGGACGGGUGAGUAACGCGUGGGAACCUGCCCAAUGGUAGGGAAUAACUGCGGGAAACUGCAGCUAAUACCCUAUGCUCCCUACGGGGGAAAGAUUUAUCGCCAUUGGAGGGGCCCGCGUCGGAUUAGCUAGUUGGCGGGGUAAUGGCCCACCAAGGCUACGAUCCGUAGCNGGUCUGAGAGGAUGAUCAGCCACACUGGGACUGAGAUACGGCCCAGACUCCUACGGGAGGCAGCAGUGGGGAAUAUUGGACAAUGGGGGAAACCCUGAUCCAGCAAUGCCGCGUGAAUGAUGAAGGCCUUGGUUG